Molecule: ribosomal RNA, 559 nt
Filed under: uncultured bacterium
Lineage: Bacteria
Description: bacterial SSU rRNA
Rfam family: Bacterial small subunit ribosomal RNA
Source: RNAcentral
CCUACGGGAGGCAGCAGUGAGGAAUUUUCCGCAAUGGGCGAAAGCCUGACGGAGCAAUACCGCGUGAGGGAUGAAGGAUUUUGGUCUGUAAACCUCUUUUCUCAAGAAAGAAGUUCUGACGGUACUUGAGGAAUAAGCAUCGGCUAACUCCGUGCCAGCAGCCGCGGUAAUACGGGGGAUGCAAGCGUUAUCCGGAAUGAUUGGGCGUAAAGCGCCUGUAGGUUGUUUAUUAAGUCCGUUGUUAAAGCCUAGGGCUCAACCCUAGAAAAGCAAUGGAAACUAGUAGACUAGAGUAUGGCAGGGGUAGAGGGAAUUUCUAGUGUAGCGGUGAAAUGCGUAGAUAUUAGAAAGAACACCGGUGGCGAAAGCGCCCUACUGGACCAUUACUGACACUCAGAGGCGAAAGCUAGGGUAGCAAAAGGGAUUAGAUACCCCUGUAGUCCUAGCCGUAAACGAUGGAUACUAGAUGUUGUGCAUUAUGUACAGUAUCGUAGCUAACGCGUUAAGUAUCCCGCCUGGGGAGUACGCUCGCAAGGGUGAAACUCAAAUGAAUUGACGG